RNAcentral lists this ribosomal RNA (434 nucleotides) under uncultured bacterium. Its description in RNAcentral is "partial 16S ribosomal RNA". It matches the Rfam family "Bacterial small subunit ribosomal RNA", at positions 29 to 507 of the family's 1533-position model. The record is from RNAcentral.
AGCGAACGCUGGCGGCAGGCCUAACACAUGCAAGUCGAACGAACCUUUCGGGGUUAGUGGCGGACGGGUGAGUAACACGUGGGAACGUGCCUUUAGGUUCGGAAUAACUCAGGGAAACUUGUGCUAAUACCGAAUGUGCCCUUCGGGGGAAAGAUUUAUCGCCUUUAGAGCGGCCCGCGUCUGAUUAGCUAGUUGGUUGAGGUAAUGGCUCACCAAGGCGACGAUCAGUAGCUGGUCUGAGAGGAUGAUCAGCCACAUUGGGACUGAGACACGGCCCAAACUCCUACGGGAGGCAGCAGUGGGGAAUCUUGCGCAAUGGGCGAAAGCCUGACGCAGCCAUGCCGCGUGAAUGAUGAAGGUCUUAGGAUUGUGAAAUUCUUUCACCGGGGGCGAUAAUGACGGUACCCGGAGAAGAAGCCCCGGCUAACUUCGUG